Molecule: ribosomal RNA, 253 nt
Filed under: uncultured bacterium
Lineage: Bacteria
Description: partial 16S ribosomal RNA
Rfam family: Bacterial small subunit ribosomal RNA
Source: RNAcentral
UACGGGGGGGGCAAGCGUUGUUCGGAAUUACUGGGCGUAAAGGGCUCGUAGGCGGCCAACUAAGUCAGACGUGAAAUCCCUCGGCUUAACCGGGGAACUGCGUCUGAUACUGGAUGGCUUGAGUUCGGGAGAGGGAUGCGGAAUUCCAGGUGUAGCGGUGAAAUGCGUAGAUAUCUGGAGGAACACCGGUGGCGAAGGCGGCAUCCUGGACCGACACUGACGCUGAGGAGCGAAAUCCAGGGGAGCAAACGGG